RNAcentral lists this ribosomal RNA (102 nucleotides) under Rigidoporus microporus. RNAcentral's name for it is "partial 28S ribosomal RNA". Lineage: Eukaryota; Fungi; Basidiomycota; Agaricomycetes; Polyporales; Meripilaceae. The record is from RNAcentral.
CUGUGUUUUUGCCGGCUUCUAANCUCUGGCCUCUUUUNCAAAGUGGCCUUUCACUUUUGAUACUUGACCUCAAANCAANGAAGGAUUCCCCGCCUGAACUUA